Carya illinoinensis is the source of this 474-nucleotide long non-coding RNA. RefSeq lists it as uncharacterized. The record is from RefSeq and is a predicted model, not a curated record. The transcript has 2 exons. NCBI's taxonomy places the organism in Eukaryota, Viridiplantae, Streptophyta, Magnoliopsida, Fagales, Juglandaceae.
CCAAUUCAAAUUCAAGCCCCCCCCCCCCCCCCCCACGCUGAAUUCGAGCCCCCAUCGUCUCCUCCCUGCCCCCGUCGAACCUCAUCUGCCCACUGCCACCGGCGACGCCGUCUCUUUCAAGCGACACCGAACCCAUCUGCACAUCCCCAUCAAAGGAAAAGUCACUAACAAAUUCUGGAUGGCAUUCCCAUUUCACAUGUUAGAGUUGAGAGAGGAUAGAUGGUCUCCUUAUUUUUUGAUUAGUUGUAAAAAAAAUAGACAGUUGUUGUGAGACCUCAAUUACUUGUAAUACUAACAUCCUCUUUAUUUAUUAGUUGAUGAAUGCAACUUUGGGUCGUUUCAGGGUCGCUGUGUUAUUUGUGGAGGAGUGGGAAUUUCUUGUGGUUGCCAUUGUAAGGAAACAUAGAGACUAUAUAUUUGAAAAACUCAUAUAUUUAGUUAUCAUAUAACUGGAAUUUGGUAUGUGGUUGCUAA